AUGAUUUACCUGAAUGAGGAACCAUAUGAAAAUAAUGGUGAUCCUACAUACUGUACACAACAUGCUGUUGGAGAUGCAGAAUUUGUGGCGGAAUCACCUAAUCCUCCUAUCAUGCAAAAAGAUGGUGUUGCUGCUGCAGAAGCAAUGGAGACAGAUGCGCACUCAAGUUGUGGGAGAGGGGCUCCAAGCAAUACACAAGUACCUGUAGCAGUAGCAACUGAGAGUGAUGCUCAUACCCUUGAUGGCACAGGUGCUGCAGGUGAUACUGGUGGGACUAUUGGUAAUGGUUUGGGUGCUGAAAAUGAUGAUGAAGCUUGGUCGCAGCCCAAGGAGCGUUAUGUGGGCAUCAGGUUUGAUACUUUCGAAGAUGCCAAGGAGCACUACAAUGCAUAUUCCUUGCAGAUGGGUUUUUUGGUCAAAAUGAAUACUUCAAGGAAGGAUAUGAAAACUGGGGAUUUGAUAAAACAACAAUUUGUUUGCAACAAGUUUCAAAAGCCUGAUGUCGAUGACAAAGGGGCAGAAAAGAUUCCUGUGCUAGAUGACAUUGUUGAGCAAACAAAAGGUGAUGAAGAUGAGGAUAUUAUCUUUGUUGAUGAUGAUAGUAAAGCCAAAAAGAGGAGCAAGAAAUGAAAAAGAGAUAAAAUUGUGCAAACUGGUUGUAAAGCUAAGAUGGUUGUGAAGCUAAUAGAUGGAAGAUGGGAGGUCAUCUACUUUGUUGGCGAGCACAACCAUCCGUUGGUUGACAAACCAUGUUUCACUAAAUAUUUGCGAUCACACCAAGGGAUCCCACUAGAAGAAGGGGCCUUCCUUACUCAUCUUCAUAACUUCAAUUUGACUACAGGUUUUAAACCACACCCCCUCCCCACCCCUACCUUCUAA
This 879-nucleotide ribosomal RNA is filed under the name Triticum aestivum (bread wheat). Its description in RNAcentral is "partial small subunit ribosomal RNA". Lineage: Eukaryota; Viridiplantae; Streptophyta; Magnoliopsida; Poales; Poaceae. The record is from RNAcentral.